GUAGGGAAUAUUGGGCAAUGGUCGGAAGACUGACCCAGCCAUGCCGCGUGCAGGAAGACGGCCCUCUGGGUUGUAAACUGCUUUUAUCUGGGAAGAAAAAGGCCAUGCGUGGCAAAUUGCCGGUACCAGAUGAAUAAGCACCGGCUAACUCCGUGCCAGCAGCCGCGGUAAUACGGAGGGUGCGAGCGUUGUCCGGAUUUAUUGGGUUUAAAGGGUGCGUAGGCGGCUGAUUAAGUCAGCGGUGAAAGACUUCGGGUUAACCGGAGCAGUGCCGUUGAUACUGGUUGGCUUGAGUGUCGGAGGGGUACAUGGAAUUGAUGGUGUAGCGGUGAAAUGCAGAGAUACCAUCAGGAACACCGAUAGCGAAGGCAUUGUACUGGCCGACAACUGACGCUGAUGCACGAAAGUGUGGGGAUCGAACAGGAUUAGAAACCCCUGUAGUCC
Molecule: ribosomal RNA, 444 nt
Filed under: uncultured bacterium
Lineage: Bacteria
Description: partial 16S ribosomal RNA
Rfam family: Bacterial small subunit ribosomal RNA
Source: RNAcentral